GACGAACGCUGGCGGCGUGCUUAACACAUGCAAGUCGAACGAAGAGCGAUGGAAGCUUGCUUCUAUCAAUCUUAGUGGCGAACGGGUGAGUAACGCGUAAUCAACCUGCCCUUCAGAGGGGGACAACAGUUGGAAACGACUGCUAAUACCGCAUACGAUCUAAUCUCGGCAUCGAGGAUAGAUGAAAGGUGGCCUCUACAUGUAAGCUAUCACUGAAGGAGGGGAUUGCGUCUGAUUAGCUAGUUGGAGGGGUAACGGCCCACCAAGGCGAUGAUCAGUAGCCGGUCUGAGAGGAUGAACGGCCACAUUGGGACUGAGACACGGCCCAGACUCCUACGGGAGGCAGCAGUGGGGAAUCUUCCGCAAUGGACGAAAGUCUGACGGAGCAACGCCGCGUGAGUGAUGACGGCCUUCGGGUUGUAAAGCUCUGUUAAUCGGGACGAAAGGACUUCUUGCGAAAAGUUAGAAGGAUUGACGGUACCGGAAUAGAAAGCCACGGCUAACUACGUG
RNAcentral lists this ribosomal RNA (510 nucleotides) under uncultured bacterium. RNAcentral's name for it is "partial 16S ribosomal RNA". It matches the Rfam family "Bacterial small subunit ribosomal RNA", at positions 28 to 507 of the family's 1533-position model. The record is from RNAcentral.